GAUGAAGAACGCAUCGAAAUGCGAUAAGUAAUGUGAAUUGCAGAAUUCAGUGAAUCAUCGAAUCUUUGAACGCACCUUGCGCCCUUUGGCUAUUCCGAAGGGCAUGCCUGUUUGAGUAUCAUGAACACCUCAACUCUCAUGGUUUGCCAUGAUGAGCUUGGACUCUGGGGGUCUUGCUGGCCUAUGGUCAGCUCCUCUCAAAUAAAUCAGCUUGCCAGUGUUUGGUGGCAUCACAGGUGUGAUAACUAUCUACGCUUGUGGUUUUCCAUCAGGUAACCUUCAGUGAUGGAGGUUCGCUGGAGCUCAUAAAUGUCCCUCCUCAGCGAGGACAGCUUUUUGAACGUUUGAUCUCAAAUCAGGUAGGACUACCCGCUGAACUUAAGCAUAUCAAUAAGCGGAGGA
RNAcentral lists this unclassified non-coding RNA (402 nucleotides) under soil metagenome. RNAcentral's name for it is "partial contains 5.8S ribosomal RNA, internal transcribed spacer 2, and large subunit ribosomal RNA". The stretch from base 1 to 121 matches the Rfam family "5.8S ribosomal RNA", at positions 35 to 154 of the family's 154-position model. The record is from RNAcentral.